CCAGACUCCUACGGGAGGCAGCAGUGGGGAAUAUUGCACAAUGGGGGAAACCCUGAUGCAGCGACGCCGCGUGAGCGAAGAAGUACCUCGGUAUGUAAAGCUCUAUCAGCAGGGAAGAAGAUGACGGUACCUGACCAAGAAGCUCCGGCUAAAUACGUGCCAGCAGCCGCGGUAAUACGUAGGUGGCAAGCGUUGUCCGGAUUUACUGGGUGUAAAGGGCGUGUAGCCGGGCUGACAAGUCAGAUGUGAAAUUCCGGGGCUCAACCCCGGACCUGCAUUUGAAACUGUUGGUCUUGAGUAUCGGAGAGGCAGGCGGAAUUCCUAGUGUAGCGGUGAAAUGCGUAGAUAUUAGGAGGAACACCAGUGGCGAAGGCGGCCUGCUGGACUGUGACUGACGUUGAGGCCCGAAGGCGUGGGGAGCAAACAGGAUUAGAUACCCCUGUAU
Molecule: ribosomal RNA, 445 nt
Filed under: uncultured bacterium
Lineage: Bacteria
Description: partial 16S ribosomal RNA
Rfam family: Bacterial small subunit ribosomal RNA
Source: RNAcentral